ACCACGUGGGGAUUUUGUUAAAAUACAGAAUCUGAUUCAGUGAGCCUGAAAAUUGGCCCAAAAUUCUGCAUUUCUAACAAGCUCCCAGAUGAUGCCAA
Molecule: microRNA precursor, 98 nt
Filed under: Canis lupus familiaris (dog)
Lineage: Eukaryota; Metazoa; Chordata; Mammalia; Carnivora; Canidae
Also listed under: 1 other name
Description: mir-544 microRNA precursor family
Rfam family: mir-544 microRNA precursor family
Source: Rfam by way of RNAcentral